RNAcentral lists this unclassified non-coding RNA (222 nucleotides) under uncultured Tomentella. RNAcentral describes it as "sequence contains ITS2". Lineage: Eukaryota; Fungi; Basidiomycota; Agaricomycetes; Thelephorales; Thelephoraceae. The record is from RNAcentral.
ACACCUCAACUCUUCAUGGUUUUCUGUGAUGAGCUUGGACUUUGGGGGUUUUGCUGGCCCUAUGGUUGGCUCCUCUAAAAUGAAUCAGCUUUCCAGUGUUUGGUGGGCGUCACAGGUGUGAUAACUAUCUACGCUUGUGGUUUUCUCACCAGGUAACCUUCAGCAGUGGAGGUUUGCUGGAGCUCAUAGAUGUCACUCCUCAGUGAGGACAACCCUUUGAAU